GAUGAACGCUAGCGGUAGGCUUAACACAUGCAAGUCGAGGGGCAGCGCGGGAUAGCAAUAUCCUGGCGGCGACCGGCGGAAGGGUGCGUAACGCGUGAGCGACAUGCCCGUUGCCCGGGGACAACCGGUGGAAACGCCGACUAAUCCCCGAUGGGAUAUUGUGCCGCAUGGCACGAUAUUGAAAGUUACGGCGGCGACGGAUUGGCUCGCGUCCGAUUAGCUGGUUGGCGGGGUAACGGCCCACCAAGGCUGCGAUCGGUAGGGGUUCUGAGAGGAAGGCCCCCCACAAUGGGACUGAGACACGGCCCAUACUCCUACGGGAGGCAGCAGUGAGGAAUAUUGGUCAAUGGGCGGAAGCCUGAACCAGCCAUGCCGCGUGCGGGAAGGAGGCCCUAUGGGCUGUGAACCGCUUUUGCCUGGGGGCAAUAAGGGCGUCGCGCACGUCCGAUGAGAGUACCAGGCGAAUAAGCAUCGGCUAACUCCGUG
Molecule: ribosomal RNA, 486 nt
Filed under: uncultured bacterium
Lineage: Bacteria
Description: partial 16S ribosomal RNA
Rfam family: Bacterial small subunit ribosomal RNA
Source: RNAcentral